UACGUAGGUGGCAAGCGUUAUCCGGAAUUAUUGGGCGUAAAGAGCUCGUAGGCGGUUUGUCGCGUCUGCUGUGAAAACUCGGGGCUUAACUCCGGGCCUGCAGUGGGUACGGGCAGACUAGAGUGCGGUAGGGGAGACUGGAAUUCCUGGUGUAGCGGUGAAAUGCGCAGAUAUCAGGAGGAACACCGGUGGCGAAGGCGGGUCUCUGGGCCGUAACUGACGCUGAGGAGCGAAAGCGUGGGGAGCGAACAGG
This 253-nucleotide ribosomal RNA is filed under the name uncultured bacterium. Its description in RNAcentral is "partial 16S ribosomal RNA". It matches the Rfam family "Bacterial small subunit ribosomal RNA", at positions 524 to 776 of the family's 1533-position model. The record is from RNAcentral.